This is a non-coding RNA of Trichobilharzia regenti, 46 nucleotides long. NCBI's taxonomy places the organism in Eukaryota, Metazoa, Platyhelminthes, Trematoda, Strigeidida, Schistosomatidae. The record is from Rfam.
GUACUGCUGAAGAGUCCCAAACUAGGACGAGACAGUUGUCCAGUAA